AACGGUAACAGGAAGCAGCUUGCUGCUUUGCUGACGAGUGGCGGACGGGUGAGUAAUGUCUGGGAAACUGCCUGAUGGAGGGGGAUAACUACUGGAAACGGUGGCUAAUACCGCAUAACGUCGCAAGACCAAAGAGGGGGACCUUCGGGCCUCUUGCCAUCAGAUGUGCCCAGAUGGGAUUAGCUUGUUGGUGAGGUAACGGCUCACCAAGGCGACGAUCCCUAGCUGGUCUGAGAGGAUGACCAGCCACACUGGAACUGAGACACGGUCCAGACUCCUACGGGAGGCAGCAGUGGGGAAUAUUGCACAAUGGGCGCAAGCCUGAUGCAGCCAUGCCGCGUGUAUGAAGAAGGCCUUCGGGUUGUAAAGUACUUUCAGCGGGGAGGAAGGUGUUGUGGUUAAUAACC
This 407-nucleotide ribosomal RNA is filed under the name Salmonella enterica subsp. enterica serovar Heidelberg. RNAcentral describes it as "bacterial SSU rRNA". It matches the Rfam family "Bacterial small subunit ribosomal RNA", at positions 65 to 468 of the family's 1533-position model. The record is from RNAcentral. Lineage: Bacteria; Pseudomonadati; Pseudomonadota; Gammaproteobacteria; Enterobacterales; Enterobacteriaceae.